AUUGAACGCUGGCGGCAUGCCUUACACAUGCAAGUCGAACGGCAGCACGGGUGCUUGCACCUGGUGGCGAGUGGCGAACGGGUGAGUAAUACAUCGGAACGUACCUUAUCGUGGGGGAUAACGCAGCGAAAGCUGUGCUAAUACCGCAUACGCCCUGAGGGGGAAAGCGGGGGAUCGCAAGACCUCGCGCGAUCAGAGCGGCCGAUGCCUGAUUAGCUUGUUGGUGGGGUAAAAGCCCACCAAGGCGACGAUCAGUAGCUGGUCUGAGAGGACGAGCAGCCACACUGGGACUGAGACACGGCCCAGACUCCUACGGGAGGCAGCAGUGGGGAAUUUUGGACAAUGGGGGCAACCCUGAUCCAGCAAUGCCGCGUGAGUGAAGAAGGCCUUCGGGUUGUAAAGCUCUUUUGUCAGGGAAGAAACACCGGCUCUAACACAGUCCGGGAAUGACGGUACCUGAAGAAUAAGCACCGGCUAACUACGUGCCAGCCGCCGCAGUAA
RNAcentral lists this ribosomal RNA (501 nucleotides) under uncultured bacterium. RNAcentral describes it as "partial 16S ribosomal RNA". It matches the Rfam family "Bacterial small subunit ribosomal RNA", at positions 29 to 523 of the family's 1533-position model. The record is from RNAcentral.